AUUGAACGCUGGCGGCAGGCCUAACACAUGCAAGUCGAACGGUAACAGGGAUCAGCUUGCUGAUUCGCUGACGAGUGGCGGACGGGUAAGUAAUGUCUGGGAAACUGCCUGCUGGAGGGGGAUAACUACUGGAAACGGUAGCUAAUACCGCAUAACGUCGCAAGACCAAAGAGGGGGACCUUCGGGCCUCUUGCCAUCGGAUGUGCCCAGAUGGGAUUAGCUAGUAGGUGGGGUAACGGCUCACCUAGGCGACGAUCCCUAGCUGGUCUGAGAGGAUGACCAGCCACACUGGAACUGAGACACGGUCCAGACUACUACGGGAGGCAGCAGUGGGGAAUAUUGCACAAUGGGCGCAAGCCUGAUGCAGCCAUGCCGCGUGUAUGAAGAAGGCCUUCGGGUUGUAAAGUACGUUCAGCGGGGAGGAAGGGAGUAAAGUUAAUACCUUUGCUCAUUGACGUUACCCGCAGAAGAAGCACCGGCUAACUCCGUG
Molecule: ribosomal RNA, 490 nt
Filed under: uncultured bacterium
Lineage: Bacteria
Description: partial 16S ribosomal RNA
Rfam family: Bacterial small subunit ribosomal RNA
Source: RNAcentral